GUGCCGUUGGUGUAAUGGUAACAUCCUACUUUCCCAAGGUAGGGCAGUGGGUUCGAUUCCCGCACGGUGCA
This is a non-coding RNA of Pyronema omphalodes CBS 100304, 71 nucleotides long. NCBI's taxonomy places the organism in Eukaryota, Fungi, Ascomycota, Pezizomycetes, Pezizales, Pyronemataceae. The record is from Rfam.